AUGGUUAACAUUUUUAAGAAUAGUUGAAAAGAUUUUAAUUGGGAAUAUUGGUUUAAAAUUUAAACAAGAAUGUGUCCCCAGUACACGAAUGCCCCACUCGCACUAUCAUUUUCUAUGUUCAGUGGACCGUCAAAUUGGGGUAAACCCUCUAAUUUGGCAUUAAAAAUUAAAAAGAUCAUAUCAUAGGGAACAUGUAUACUAAGUUUGAAGUCGAUUGGACUUCAACUUCAUCAAAAACUACCUUGACCAAAAACUUUAAACUGAAGCGGGAC
This 272-nucleotide long non-coding RNA is filed under the name Mytilus galloprovincialis (Mediterranean mussel). The record is from RNAcentral. Lineage: Eukaryota; Metazoa; Mollusca; Bivalvia; Mytilida; Mytilidae.